UACGGGGGGGGCAAGCGUUGUUCGGAAUUACUGGGCGUAAAGCGUGCGCAGGCGGUUAUGCAAGACAGAGGUGAAAUCCCCGGGCUCAACCUGGGAACUGCCUUUGUGACUGCAUGACUAGAGUACGGUAGAGGGGGAUGGAAUUCCGCGUGUAGCAGUGAAAUGCGUAGAUAUGCGGAGGAACACCGAUGGCGAAGGUAAUCCCCUGGACCUGUACUGACGCUCAUGCACGAAAGCGUGGGGAGCAAACAGG
This 253-nucleotide ribosomal RNA is filed under the name uncultured bacterium. Its description in RNAcentral is "partial 16S ribosomal RNA". It matches the Rfam family "Bacterial small subunit ribosomal RNA", at positions 524 to 776 of the family's 1533-position model. The record is from RNAcentral.